GUGAAUCAUCGAAUUUUUGAACGCAAAUUGCACUCUCCUCUGUGAGAAUGCCUGUUUGAGGUUCAGCCUAUAAAAAAUCUACAUCAUUGCUUUUUCGCUGUGGCGUUCGUCGGGAAUUGGGUGAACUUAAAUCCUUUUGAUGUAAGCGCCUUAAAAUUUUCUUUUGGUUCCAUGAACGUUUCUAAGAUCUAUUUCUUUACACGUUUAAGGUAUCGAUUUUUACUAGACGUCACCAUCAUAUCGUAUCGCGUCCAUAAUCUUUCAUGCACUGAC
Molecule: unclassified non-coding RNA, 273 nt
Filed under: Glomeromycetes sp.
Lineage: Eukaryota; Fungi; Glomeromycota; Glomeromycetes
Description: partial internal transcribed spacer 2
Source: RNAcentral